AGGUAAGAACCAAUGGUCAGAGAUGUUUGUUAUGAAGGAGGGUGUUCCUAUUUGGCCGUAUUGGGAUAGUAUUCUUGCUGAUGAGAUAAGAAAUGAUAAUCUUGAUCUUCUUGAAGUUCCUCAAUACGGGCGAAACCUUAAUGAGACUGGUUGAUUGGCUAAAUACGAGUUGCUUUAUGUUGAGUAAUGUUAUGCUUUCAAGAGUUUGUAUUUCAUAAACAAAGUGUGGAUUUGGUACCUCAAAAUGCAAUUUUAUAUCACUUUGCAUGAAAGACAUAUAUGAAAUACUUAGUAUUUAAUAAAUAAGCAUAGCGUUACUCUUUUGUAUUGAAUAAAUAAAAGACUUGUACUAUUGCCAGUAGUUUAAUUCAAUAAAUAAGAUGAUCUCUUCAGAUGUAAAAAAAUAUCCUUUGAUUGCAUCAUGUACUUUAGUUUUCCUAAAAAUAAAAAAGGUUGAUUGUGUGUUGAUUUGUUAUUAUUAUUAUUAUUGAGCAAAAGCACAACUAAGUACGAAUUUUUUUUUUUUUGAGAAAAGGGAAAAAUAUUAGAAAUUUAAAUGGGAGGACAAAGAUUGAGCCUAGAAAGAAGCUCAAUAAAGUAAAAAAUUAAAAAAAAAACAAAGAAACAAAUAAAGAUGAGUCAUGAUAUGAGCGCAAAGGGCAACACAAUGGUGGCAUAAAUAAAUGGGGUCCUAAUACUGAGGUAACUGAGGCUUCAUACAUUAUUUAAUAUUGAGAUUUUUAUAAAUGAUUAUUACUACUUGAAAAUUGACAUUAGGUUCAAAGGUCCUAAUUAGUCCAUUAGAUAUGUAUUUUAUAAGGGAUCUAAGCUACUAUGCCAGGGUAACCAUUGUGAGCUAUGGUUUGGAAAGUAUGAAUGCACUAAUUUGAGGAUUAAUUCACACAGAAUUCUUAGCUAAGCCUACUUGGGGACCUUUCUCAUAAGAGAAUGCUUUAUGGAACGGAUUAGUAGAUAACCAAUAAUCAUAAAAAGCUCAUAAGAGACCUAAUACUGCCUAAUGGUAUGUAGGCCCAUUAUUGAGUCUAUGCCAAGGUCAGUAUUUUCGAUCUAGUAGUUAACUCUAGCUUAAGCCCAUAAACCCUCUUAGAAUACUUAUGAAACCCUGAGAAUCUAUUCCUCUUUUGAGAUUCUUGAUUACUGCCAAUUAGGUUUACCUUCAAACCUUAUACACUAUUCAAGCAUGCUUAAACGACCAUUAAGCACUCACCAACAUCCUAACUAUUAUUCAGUAGCCUAAACACCCUCUAAAGAGCAACCUUUGCAACCAUCCACCUUCUUUGUUCAAGGAAAGGUCUUCUUGUUGACCAAAUAACCAUAGUUUAGAUUUCUUUAUUCUUAAAAAACCCUAAACUAGUCGUCCUCACCAUCAUAUCACUAUUAAAACACAUUCCUUGACUAUGAACAAUCCUUCAUUCUUAGUCAAACAUGUUUCAACCCUCAAGCAUUGACCUUAAAUCCAACGAACUAUUACAACAAUAUUCUUAAAUUCAACACUCAAAUACUUUUAUUCUUAUAACUAGUGUCAAAACCACCCUAAACACCGUCCAAUCACACUUUAAGGUUUCAAUUAUCUCAAAAUUCCACCUUUAACCCUUAAAUCACAUUAGGACUUUUUCCUCGUUUUUUGUUGUAUAAGUCCCUAAGGCAUGAUCUUAAACCCUGGUUGUCUGUUAUUCAUGGCACUAUAUUAUUAUUAUUCAAACCCAGAUGCACCUGUUCGACAAGCAAGCCAUGCUCAAAGUUUUAACACGAGUUUAUUCAGACCGCAUCAAUACCCAAAUAAUCUUAUGAACCUUAAUCCUCAAAAUAUCAUCAAAAUAGCUUUCAUAGACCACAUCCAGACCUAAGUCAUAGAAUAGGCUCAAAUCCUAUUUCUAAUUGAAGAAGGAUUGUCUCCAACCAAUAUAGGGGAGACAUUGGACGGAUUAAAAUCCCAACAAAAUAAUGAUUUUGCAGUUAGUUUUGUUUAUUGUUUCAAUAAGGAUAUUUAGCUAAAUUUGAAAUCGCCAAUGAUGCUUCAGUUCAUUUUCUUUUAAAAAAGGAUUGAAGAUGAAUUGUUGUGAUGAAGAUAGUACGUUUGUCAUUUUUAAAAUUUCAAAGUUAAAAUUGUGCCUAUGAUAAACAAAAGAGUAAAUAUGCAUUUUUGCAAUUUUAAAUUAUCAAGUAUAAAAUAAAUUUUAGCAUAAAUUUUUAAACAUAUUUAACAAAGUUAAUUGAAAAAUGACUACUUGAUGCAAUUUAAAAACUAUAGGUGGUGCACAAUUAUUGAUUGAAAUUUUUUAUGACUAUUUGAACUUUCAACAUUUGUCACGUGAUUUUGAAAGCACGUAUUCUCAAAGGCUUUAGUUAUCUUAUGUGAUUAUGUAAGAUACAUGAUUCUUCCACAGCUAUUAAAUGAAAAUCUAAUAGUUGUAGAAAUAAUAUAAUUUUAUUAUAUUAUAUUUUUAUAACCAUUGAAUUUUCUUCAUCAAACGACUGUAGAGAAAUCAUGUAUCUAACAUAAUUAGGUAAGAUAACAAUCUCCAUUCUCAAAAUGAAAAAUGAUAUGGAGACUAUAAAUCAUGACAAACUUAUGACAAAACAGCACUAUGAGCGUCGUUUUCAGCUUUUUUUUUUCUUCUUUUCCCUCAAAAUUUCUAUCAUUUCAAAACAUCUGUCAAAUACUGUAAGUCUAUAAUGAAUUUAAAAAAAAGUCGGCAAAAGCAAUUGAUCGAUGUGACAAAUUGUACCAUCACCUUUGCAUGAUUAAACUAUGGUCUAAUGUAAUAUUAGUUUUAUUUUGAUUGUAAUACUAAUGUUAAAAAAAAUUACGGUCACGUAUUUCCCAUACUCAAACAAGAUUGGCAGAUUUCGUUGUAAUGGAUGAUAUAAUAUAUGUUUAAGAAAUUUCUUGAUAAAGAAAAUUCAAUAAUGUUACCAAUAGAACACCAACGUGAAAAAUAUUGUCAAGAAAUGCCAGCAUAAGUUCAUGAAAUAUGAAAUUACUAUAAUUUGCGAAUAAGAAAUUCCAAUAAAUCUCAAACCAAUUCUUAUUGUAUGAAUCCCUUGACCAUUUUUUACCAUAAUUUGGCUCUUUGGUGAAUUUGUUUUACCAAUCAACUUGAUUGUAAUCAACUACAAUUGGUGUGUUGCCAAUCACUAUGUUUUGUUGCCGCUGAUGGGUAAUUACGUUUUCUUUAUGUUUCACGAGUCCGUAAAAAUAACAAUAAAAAUUGUAUUGCCUUGCCUGUCUGUCCUGCGGCCAUAACAUUUUUUUUUAUAUUAAUUAAUCUGUUGAUAGGAAGUCAUCUAUUACCAUCAUCAUCAUCAUCAUCAUCAUCAUCAUUUGGGUUAUUAAGUGAUGGAGCAAAUAAUUAAUUUGAACAGAACGUUCUUUAUUAAUUUUUAUUUACUUGUGCAAUUACUGUGUUAAUAGAUUUACUUUAAAAAAGAGUGAGACUAUUUAGUAUUUACAGUCAUAAAAUUAUUCAGAAUACUCAUUUUCGAACUUAAAAAUUCUAGAGAACCAAUGCCUUAAAAAUAAACGACAAUGUGAUAUAGUAAUAUCAAAUUUUAGUUCGGGUAAAGAUAAUUUAUAUCCAUAAAAUUUCUCUCAGUAUUCAAUUUCUGAAAUGUCUUUUACUUCAAAAUUUAAAGAAUUUUAUAUUUACUUCUUACCCUCUCUAAAAUUUCAAAAAUAACUACCAAUUACGAUUACGAUUUUCUCUCCAAAUUGUGAGUCAAUUUAUACUCUCUUUCUGGUUCCUACCUAAUAAAUAAACUAUCUAGUGACAUCCAACACAUGAGAUAACAAAUAAAUUAAUUACAAUUUGAUCAACCAUUGUUUAGCCAACCAUCUCAAACCAGCUCGAUCGUCAGAAUCUCAGUCUUUUUGGAUACUUUUAAUUAAAAGCUGACUCCGAUUAAAGAAACUCAUGCAGGAACUCGCUCAGCUACUUGCUUAAUUCUGACUACACACAAGGACAGGGGGAGAAAAAUCUAUCCUGAGUUGAUUGAAGAUUAAGAAAACUUCUUUUGCACAGGUACACAUUUAGGCUGAGUUCAGUUGAAUGCCAUUUCUAAUCCUCGCAUUAUUCUGUGCAUGUUGUUUAUGAAUAAAUUUCCUAAUAUGAUGUUCAGGUAAAAAGGUAAAUACGAUUUUUCCACUUCUGUUGAGCGGCAAGCACAAAUUGUCCUGUUACAAAAUGGAGACGCUCUCGGCUCACUUUUUUUCAUUCGGUUGAGAGUAGUGUUAUUGAUGAGAUGAUGUUGAUCGACAUAGGAGAACCUUGGCCAAAGUAAUUAACUGAUGGCUAAAUUUGAAUUGUUUUCUAUUAGAUAAAAUAUUAUGCUUCUAAUAGUUUUUAUUUUUUUUUUUUUUUUUGGCCGAACCUCGCCGGAAAUUCAUUGAAAGUGAACAAAGAAAUACACUGUAGGGUAAUUGAUACGCAUACAAUUAAGCUCAUCUGAUAUGUAUGGGCAGAGAAUUGUGAAUGGGUAUGUACUUGCGGGCAGAGUUGAAGGGGACAGAACAGAAACCAUCUUCAUGUAGUUCACAAAUCACAACAGAAACGAUAAUGGGCUUGUAUGAACAAAAUGAAAUUUUAUAUGCUUAAAUAUACAAAUGAUAGAAAUUAAGUGACCUUCGUAGAUAAAUUAUAACAAAAUUUUAGCUGAAUAUAAAUUCGACUUAUUUAUUAAAUAGAUAUACUUAAUAAAAUAACAAGACGAUUAAUGUGUAUUAAAUGAUUGAUAUAGACACAACUGAAAUAGCUCUAAUGUGAAAACAAGAAAAGUCCCGCUACCAAUAAUUCAGAGGCAGGCCCCACGGCCAUCAAUAAUUACGCCAAAGUGAAGCAAAAGCCAGAGGCAGGCCCCACCGCCAUGAAUAAUUCAGCAAGCUUCACAUGCUUUUGCUCGACGAACCGGGCAUGGGUGGACCAAGCACCAUUGAAUAAUUGCAAAAAAUGAAAAAUAAAAAUCAGUGUCCAGCAAAAAAAGAAUCCAUAUUCAUGUGUUGCUUCCUAUUCAGUACAUCUACCUAGCAUUUAAAAAAAAUGGAAGUAGAAAUUAAAACUCACUUUUUUAGAUAUGGCUCAUAUAUAUUACAAGUAUCAAGAUUUAAUUAGAGUUCACAUAUUUACAAUGUGUCUAGUUUUAACUGAUUAAUAGAUAUUAUGAAAUGGGAAUCUCCGAAACAUGAUAGUCGUGUAUGCCAAUUGCCACGGGCCCCACGUGCGGGGCCAAUGGCUUUUAUGUAAUUGGCCGUCGCUACUUGGAUGUGUAUAAAUACCAUCUCAAGGCGGAACCAAAAUCUCACCUCGCUCAAGUCUCUCAAACUACUUGCUUUUCAUUGCAUUAAUAGGAAGAGUUCUUUAAUUUUCUGAUUUGAAGAAUAUGGAAGCUGUUUUUGCAGGUACAUUUUAAGACAAGUUCACUUUGAUUGCCGCUUCGAAUUCUUAUCUUCUCUCUCUACACACACACACACACACACACAUAUAUAUAAUUCUUUAUUAAUUAAAUUAUAUAUGUAUUUUAAGGUUAUGUUUUUUAAUAAAGAAAUUUUAUCAGGUAAGAACCAAUGGUCAGAGAUGUUUGUUAUGAAGGAGGGUGUUCCUAUUUGGCCGUAUUGGGAUAGUAUUCUUGCUGAUGAGAUAAGAAAUGAUAAUCUUGAUCUUCUUGAAGUUCCUCAAUACGGGCGAAACCUUAAUGAGACUGGUUGAUUGGCUAAAUACGAGUUGCUUUAUGUUGAGUAAUGUUAUGCUUUCAAGAGUUUGUAUUUCAUAAACAAAGUGUGGAUUUGGUACCUCAAAAUGCAAUUUUAUAUCACUUUGCAUGAAAGACAUAUAUGAAAUACGUAGUAUUUAAUAAAUAAGCAUAGCGUUACUCUUCUGUAUUAAAUAAAUAAAAGACUUGUACUAUUGCCAGCAGUUUAAUUCAAUAAAUAAGAUGAUCUCUUGAGAUGUAAAAAAAUAUCUUUUGAUUGCAUCAUGUACUUUAGUUUUCCUAAAAAU
Molecule: long non-coding RNA, 6014 nt
Filed under: Citrus sinensis (sweet orange)
Lineage: Eukaryota; Viridiplantae; Streptophyta; Magnoliopsida; Sapindales; Rutaceae
Description: long non-coding RNA (CSIN_LNC003272)
Source: RNAcentral